UACGUAGGGUGCAAGCGUUAUCCGGAAUUACUGGGUUUAAAGGGUGCGUAGGCGGCCAGGUAAGUCAGGAGUGAAAGUUGCGGCUCAACCGUAAAAUUGCUUUUGAUACUGCCAGGCUAGAAUUUGGAUGAGGUCAGCGGAAUGUGGCAUGUAGCGGUGAAAUGCAUAGAUAUGCCAUAGAACACCAAUUGCGAAGGCAGCUGGCUAGACCUGGAUUGACGCUGAGGCACGAAAGCGUGGGGAGCGAACAGG
RNAcentral lists this ribosomal RNA (252 nucleotides) under uncultured bacterium. Its description in RNAcentral is "partial 16S ribosomal RNA". It matches the Rfam family "Bacterial small subunit ribosomal RNA", at positions 524 to 776 of the family's 1533-position model. The record is from RNAcentral.